This is a long non-coding RNA of Cyprinus carpio carpio, 1019 nucleotides long. Lineage: Eukaryota; Metazoa; Chordata; Actinopteri; Cypriniformes; Cyprinidae. The record is from Ensembl.
AAUAGCAUGAGUGCAUCUGUUGGGCUGAGGAAAUAAAGUUCCACAGAAUUAUGAUAUUGAAUUAUCUCCAGACAUCGAUGGCUUUUUAUAAAGUCUCUGAAAGCUUUGGUAUUGAUUGAGUGAAGGACACGAUUAUGACAGAAGGAUGCUGUGCACUGUGCUUGUUUGUUCCUCCCCGGGAACAUUGAAGAUUGCUUUGCUAUUUUGUUCAAACUGCAUUUGGCCAGUCCUGACACUUAAACCAAGCUGUGUACAUCGACGAAGCUGCGCCUUGACAUAUUGUGAAUGAACUCCGAACGAACAGCUAACUGCUUUUAGGUCGGACGUCGUUGGUGCCAGUUCUGACAAUUAUACACUUGUGAGAUGUUGUGUGCAAAAUUGCUUAGAAAUCUGUGGACCUGUGGACAUUAUUCAAAGACCCCCACACGAAAUCACCAUAUGAAAUGUACAAUAACUGUACAAUGUAUUCAUCGACUCCAAAGGCUGAGUCAAACAUCUGCUUCAAUUCCAGAGGCUGCUGGAGGAGCUGCCUCAGGCUGGACUCACCAACAGCCCUAAGAAAUGCCACUUCAUUCUGCUUGAACAGUGUUACCAAGAUUCUAGAUCAACUGGGGACUGAUAAAACCUUCAAAAGCAGACAGAAGCUGUGCAGUUUUAUACUUCCUGGCUUGCGAGUAUGAAUUAUGUAUGCCAUUUCCAAAGGUAGGCAGGUUACCAUCAGUGCCUCAUGCCUUGUUUUUCUAGUAUAUCAUCUCUCCUCUCAAGUGUGACCAGUAAUGGGCAGCAAGAAAAAAAUGCUAUGAACAUCUAAGGUAGAGCCAGCUUUUAGCUUCCUAAAAAAACCUUUCAACUGGUUUUACAUGCUCCAAGCUUUCAUCUACCCUUCUCAUUUCAUCUACCCUUCCAAUCUACCCUUCACUCUCCAUGUUCAUGCCAAGCUGCUUUCCAUGAAGACGAUGCCAUUCACUAUCUGACACCAGCAUUGUACAUGUCUUUGACAUCACUUUGCCAAUUUCUUG